Molecule: ribosomal RNA, 460 nt
Filed under: uncultured bacterium
Lineage: Bacteria
Description: partial 16S ribosomal RNA
Rfam family: Bacterial small subunit ribosomal RNA
Source: RNAcentral
CCUACGGGUGGCAGCAGUGAGGAAUAUUGGUCAAUGGGCGUAAGCCUGAACCAGCCAAGUCGCGUGAGGGAUGAAGGUUCUAUGGAUCGUAAACCUCUUUUAUAAGGGAAUAAAUUGCGGGACGUGUCCCGUUUUGUAUGUACCUUAUGAAUAAGGAUCGGCUAACUCCGUGCCAGCAGCCGCGGUAAUACGGAGGAUCCGAGCGUUAUCCGGAUUGAUUUGGUUUAACGGGUGCGUAGGCGGCCUUUUAAGUCAGCGGUGAAAGUUUGUGGCUCAACCAUAGAAUUGCCGUUGAUACUAGGAAGCUUGAGUAUGUUUGAGGCAGGCGGAAUGCGUGGUGUAGUGGUGAAAUGCUUAGAUAUAACGCAGAACCCCGAUGGCGAAGGCAGCCUGCCAGGCCAUGACUGACGCUGAUGCACGAAAGCGUGGGGAUCAAACAGGAUUAGAUACCCUGGUAGUC